Molecule: long non-coding RNA, 4750 nt
Organism: Gallus gallus (chicken)
Lineage: Eukaryota; Metazoa; Chordata; Aves; Galliformes; Phasianidae
Source: Ensembl
AUUCAGCUGUGUGAUCAGAAGGGGUGGAGCCUGGCUGCGCCUCUCCUAGACCCCAUUUAAGAGCUGACUGCCACUGGGGAAGGAUCUCUUCCUGGAGAUAGCUCCCUUCAGAGUUUUUCUGUGUGCCUACAACAUGGCAGAGUUCUGAAGAACCACAGCUGAUCCCGUGACUUUUUUCACUCUCUGCUAUAUUUGAGCAAAUCAAAUCCUAGUAAAGAAGCGGUCAAAUUCAUUUGCAAGUGAGGUGCAUAUCCAAGCAUGUACUGAAGAAGUCCACAGAAGAGUAUGAGCAGGAAGGACAAGAAAAUAGCCUCCAUAUGGCCCACCAGACAAGAAGUCCACUGAGCUGAUUUCAUAGGAUUAUAGAAUGGCUUGGCUUGGAAGGGACCUCAGGGAUCAUCAUGUUCCAACGCCACUGCCACAGAUAUUGCUGGGCUUCAUCUUUUUCUGCAAACAGCACUGACAUUCCAGCAAGAGCUGCUCUCACGGCCAACUGACAGGCAGACUAGAAACUGGGGAAUGAAGAAAGCAAAAAAAUUCACAAAUUAACAGAGUAACUGGUGGCUUUGAUGUCUCCUGCAGCCUUCAAAUUAAGACUAGAUGCCUCUCUGGAAGGCAGACUUUAGUCAGACACUAAUUAUUGGAAUAUACAGAAGAGCAACCAGAUGGAACAGAAUGACUUUUGUUCUGCUAGAGGGUCAGGUGGUCCCUGCUGACCUGAAGAUCUAUGACUAUUUAACAAGAAGACAUAAAGAGACAGCCAAGCCAUGUGCUGUUGUCAACACUUUGCUAAAGUGGUAUAAUUAUGGAGAACAGGAACUCUUCUUGCUCUCCCAAACCUAAAUCUUACUAUUGCUUUGGCAAAGAACAUUCAUAACAGUUUCUGUUCAUUUAAAUUGGUUAAGUUUAAUCAUGAACACAAUGAUUUUGUGGCUGCAAUAGUGACAGUUUUUGUCCAUACUCCUGAAGUUCCUGGAUAUUCUGAGUUACUGACUCAAGUGGGAUUUGGAUAAGACCUGGUGACUUUCUGCUUCCAUUAUCAUGGCAUGUCACCUAGCAGAAUAUGACCUGGAGGAUGCUGCCCUCUGAGGAUGUUCCAAAAGAGCUGGAAGAAGGCAAUGCGUUGGUUGCAGGAAGAAGCAGGUGGGGCCUUUUUCUUCUCUCCAAAAGCUGCAAAUGCUGCAGUGCCAGUUCUGAUUUGUUCUGGAUCUUAACACUUGUAUCAUGGAGAAGAUUUCUUCAAAUUCCCCAAGUCUGAGUGGCAAGGCUCUGGAACAUGCUGCCCAGAAAGGUGGUGGUUGUCCUAUCCUUGGAGACAUUCAAGGUCAGGCUGGAUGGGGCUCUGAGCACCUGAUGGAGCUGUAGGUGUUCCUGUUCAUCACAGGGGAGUUGAAUCAGAUGAGCUUUCAAGGUCCCUUAUAACACAAACGAUUGUAUGACAAUUAUAUGUGGUAUAGCACAUAACAGUGGUUGUCUUCAUCUCUGUUCUUUAUCAGUGAGUAAAUAAAAGGGAAGUCAGAUGCCAGGUCUAACAUUUCUGCUUCCACUCUGUGUUGCUCUUUUCUCAGCAUCUCCAGUUUGAAGUGUUAAGAAUGCAAUAUCUGCAACAAAUUAAUUAGUAAAAUCGUCAAAUGAAGUUAAGAAACUUAAAUUAUUAAUUCUUGAUCUGAAGAUCACAGGGACAGUACCUGUAUUUUCUGCCAUUUCAUCUUUAUACUGCAAGAGGAAAAAAGCAAGAUAGACAUGCUGAAUGGUGAUGAGACGAAGUGUUGAAGUAUUUCUAUUUGGAGACAUGAAUUCAAACAUAUGGAAGGAACUGAGACCCUCUGACCUACACAAAGCCUCCAGACAGUCAAAAGCAUUCCCUUGGUUGCGUGCUGCAAGUGUCUUGUAAAAAUAAGGCUGCACUUAGAGCUGCUGAGCACCACAAACUUCUGAACAUUAAGCUCAGUGGAAAUUAAGACAAAACAUCCCACAUCUCUGUGCUAAAAAGGAGAUGAGCUGCCAAACAGAUUCUGUUGCCAGCUGCUGCCUACUUUGCUCCUUUUAGGAUCUGUCACCUGCUUUGAAAUUCUUGGUGACUAAUGUAGGCCAUCCCCAAUCCUCAGGCAGAAGUCACUGCUACUCAAUUAAUAUUAAAUACUUUUGGCUUAUUAACAUAAUAAUUCUGUUUUUGCCUAAUUGCAAUCUUUAAGGGAUUAUAUAUAGUUUUUUCCUCUCUGUUUGGAAGUCCUAAGAGCUCUGAAGUUAUUGAUCAAAUCUUCCCCACAAAUCCUAAUGGAACCACAAGAGCAUGUGAUAUAGCUCUGAUCAGUCUCUGUGUUGCUAGUGAAUGCACUUCAAGCAAAUGAGAUUUGUUUCAGCUCCAUGUUGCUCAUACAGAUGCUUUGAAGACAUAUGAAAUGAGUACUCCAGAUAAUUUUGGCACUAUUAGAGAUAAGAGUCUUAUCAGGACCUGAGGUACCAACCUAAUUUUUUUUUCAUGAAAGCUGCCAGAGUAAACCCAUGACUCUUCUGAAUCAGCACAUCACGUUUGUUGUGCUCUGCAGAAAGGAGAGAACAGCAAAAGAUAAUGGACCGUGAUAGCACUACAGCUCUGGGAAAUGGGGCAAUGGAAAUAGCAGCAAAUGGUGAUCAAAAUGUCUGUGUUAAAGCUCAGCCCUGGAACAGACUGGAUACAUCUCCUGUUCAGCUUCUUCCUCUGAAAAAUAAGACACUGUUUACUUCAGGCAUUUCUCAUUAAGCUCAGAAAAACAGUACAUUUUUUCUGAUUCUGGAAGGGUAAGAUUGGAAAUGGUGGCCUGAUAUCUGUUAGCAAAUAAAGAAAAGAGGAAACGGACAGUUUUGCAGAUAGUCCUUCUAAGUCUCUGCAAGAGUACUGCUGGAGUAGCAGAUGCUCAAAGGGAGCCUUUACAUACGUGUUACCCAUUUAACAGUGAUAAGAUGAAGCCCUCUGCAGACCGAGUAUGGGAGAUACAAGGAAUAAAGCUUGCCUACAGGUGGUUGACAAAUAAACCAAGUCUUUUAUGCCUAAAGACUGGAUAUUGACAUUUGGCAAACACAAAUCCUAGUGUGGUGGCAAUUCACAAUCCUCUUGAGGCUUUCCAAGGUCUCAGCACACGUGCUAAGAGCUUGCAUUGCCUAUGAACGUUUUCAUCAACCAUCAAUGGCUCAAGUCUUUAUAUUUCACACUACUAUAUCUCUAGGUUGCUAUGCAGCCAAAAAUCCUUGAUGAUUAGCAGAUAUUUGGACAUUCUGGUAAUGAAACCAUGUUAGUUGCCAGAGAAAGUGUCAGUAAUUGAUUGGUGUGAUGCACUAUGGAUUGGAUGAUAGUUUAUUCUUAGGAAAAAGGUUUUCAUCCAUUUUUUUCCCCAGUGUUUUACAUUUGUUCUCAAAACAUGGAAAUCCUAAGGACAAUUUUAGAAAUAAAAAAUUCAUGGCAUGAGGCCAUUUGAUGCUGCCAUUAAGGCACUUCACUGCUGUAUUCCUGGGCUGUCAAGGGAGGAUGGGUGUUGUGUAAAUUAGCAGCAAUCUGCACAUUGCACAGCUGCACAGAAGGACCAAGAGUGAGCUUAACUGAGGGGCAAAAGGGUAGAGCUGGCCAGCAAGAACUGCCUUAUGUAACAGAAAUUAUAAAAAGCCAUUCAGUGUACAAUCGAAAGUGAGAGAAACCUCUGGAUAUGAUGCGUUUAAAAUUCUGGGCUAUUUUGAUACUGGAUCCAAGUCACUCGGAGAGCCCAGUGGUGAUGAAUACACCUCACAACAUGCCUGUUAUUUGCUUUCUGUGUUUACUCCUUCUUUUAGAAGGGUAUCACUCUUUGCUUUUCUGGUCAACAUCAUUUUGGCUGUGUGUUGAUAUACAAUCUCAGACUGCCUGUGAAGAUAGCUUUUCAGCAAUCCCUGCAUUGUGCAAGAAUAGAUUAAGAAAAGUGAAGGGCGAGGUUAAUCAUACUGCUGUGGUUGUGCAGGUGUGCUCAGCACUUUCCUCAAACUUCUGUUGUUAAAGGGUUCCAAGGCAUGUGGUUAAAAAAUGGGCUGCUAACUCUGUAUUCAAACACCUAUAUGUUAAUGGCCUGGCCUGUGAGAAGCAAGGAACAUCCACAUAAAGCCCCAAUGCUCCUCCACACACAUUUGGAGCAUUAUUAUAAAAGGACUCCAAUAUUAAUCCCAUAAACUCCAGAUGGAAGGCUUUAGUAAUGCUAGAAGACUAAGCUCAGUGACUUCUUUGUGAGCUACAUGUACUUAUCAUAGGUGAGCUAGUACGUGGGCCAAGAAGACGUCAGUGAAUGAUUCAUACUUUGAAUCAUUGGAUGGAGAAUGUAGCUGAAAUUAUUCCAAUUUCUUGCUCUGUGUCUCCUUGCAGUAAAGUCUGGUUGAUUAUUGCUUGUUGGUUCUCCUUACUGUCAUUAUUAUUCUCUCUAAACUUCUGCAGCAGCUGCAGUGUUCAUUCUUUCUCUGGAUGUCUAAAGGAGGGGAGAUCAGAGAAUACCAGUAGGUAAAUAACUGUUUUAUUUUGUCAUGUUUUGAUUUGUUUUCUGUCAGUGCUGGAGCAUCUCCUUGAGGAAUGAACAGCUCUGAGCCAUAUCUUGUCCUGGUUCAGGGACGCUGGGUGCUCAGAGCACUGGCUCUUCUGUGGCACAGUGCGUGAAGGGUGAACUGUAUCAAAAAAAGGGCACAAGGAAAAACACAUGCAUCUAAGUUUUUAUCAUUUAUUGGAAACAAGUGUAAACCCCGCUAGCGGCGCUGGGGG